CCGUCCGCACGGCCAAGCCGUCCGGUGGAUGGCUCGGCUCGGGCGCCGAGGAAGGGCGUGGCAAGCUGCGAUAAGCCCGGGGUAGCCGCAGGCGGGCGUUGAACCCGGGAUCCCCGAAUGGGGCUUCCUGCCGGGGCCGAAUAGGCCCCGGCGCCCCGUAGGGGGCGGGAACGCGGGGAAAGGAAACAUCUUAGUACCCGCAGGAAGAGAAACCAACAGGGAACCCCUGAGUAGGGGCGACCGAAAGGGGGAGAGCCCAAACCAAAUCCCUUCGGGAAGACCGAGGGGAGAUGUGGUGUUGUGGGCUCGGGUACCGCCGGCGGGCGGUAGCCGAAGUGGGCUGGAAAGCCCCGCCGUAGAGGGUGAUAGCCCCGUAGGCGAAACCGUCCGUGGCGGAGUCCCGGGAUCCCGGAGUACCUCGCCUUGGUUUUGGCGGGGGAAGCCGGCGGCCACUGGCCGCCAAGGCUAAGCACGUCCCGAGUCCGAUAGCGAACUAGUACCGUGAGGGAAAGCUGAAAAGAACCCCGGAAGGGGGGUGAAAAGAGCCUGAAACCGGACGGCUACAGUGGGGCGGGCCUCGAAGGAUGCCCCCUCCCGAAGGAAACCCCGGUGACGGGGGAGUACGAGGGAGAGGGUCCAGGGUCCGCCCUUACGUCUAGAAACACGGGCCGGGGAGUUCACGGCCGUGGCGAGUCUAAGGGGUUCAACCCCGUAGGCGUAGGGAAACCGACAGCCCGUAGCCGGCGAGCGCCGGCGAGGGGCGGGGUCCGAAAGGGCCCGUAGCCACGGCCGUGAGACCAGAAACCGGGCGAUCUAGCCCUGGGCAGGGCGAAGCGGGGCGAAAGCCCCGUGGAGGCCCGAAAGGGUUCUGACGUGCAAUUCGUUCCCAUGACCUGGGGCUAGGGGCAAAAGACCAACCAAGCCCGGUGAUAGCUGGUUCCCCCCGAAGCGGGUCCCAGCCCGGCCUCCCCGGAGGCCGCCGGCGGGGUAGAGCACUGAUCGGGGACGCAGGGCCCGAAAGGGUCCGGUCCCCGGUCAAACUCCGAACCUGUCGGCGCCGUAGAAGGGGGGAGGCGGGGCCAGUGGGGUAAGCCUCUGGCCCGAGACGGGAACAACCGGGACCGGGGUUAAGGCCCCAAAGUGCGGGCUAAGUGUCAACGUGCAAGGGCGUCCCUCGCCCAAGACAGCGGGACCGUGGGCCUAACAGCAGCCAUCGGCCAAGCAACGCGUAACAGCGGACCCGCCGAGGCGAGGGGCCCCGUAGAUGUAGAGGGACUCAAGCCCGCCGCCGAGACCCCGGGCCUCCGGCCGUUGGCCGGAGUGCGGUAGGGGGGCGCGGCCGUGGGGCAGAAGCCGGGCCGAGAGGUCCGGUGGACCCGCGGUCGACGAAGAUCCCGGCGGUAGUAGCAGCUAAGAGGGGUGAGAAGCCCCUCCGCCGGAAAGGACAAGGUUUUCCCGGCAACUUCAAUAGGCCGGGAGUAAGCCGGUCCUAAGGCGGGGCCUAGUAGGCACCCGCCGAAAGGGAAACGGGUUAAUAUUCCCGUGCCGCGGGGGUAGGUUCUGCGGCAACGCAGGCCCCGUCCCCGACGCCUCGGGAUAGGGCGGGCGGGACCGCCGUCCCGUUUAACCGCUGAAGGCCGGGGAGUGCCGUAAUGGCGAGAACCGGCUGAAGGCGGGAAUAGCCGGGGGUUUCCCCGGUCCGCCCGACUCCUGGGGCCCGUGAAAAGGGGACGGGGAACGAGCCCCCGCGCCCGUACCGAGAACCGACGCAGGUGCUCCUGGGUGGAAAGCCCAAGGCGGCUCGGGUCUACCCCAGGCUAGGGAACUCGGCAAAUUGGCCCCGUAACUUCGGGAUAAGGGGUGCCUGCGGUCUUGGGGUACACCCUCGGGACCGCAGGUCGCAGUGACAAGGGGGACCUGACUGUUUAACAAAAACAUAGGUCCCCGCUAGCCCGUAAGGGCGGUGGGCCGGGUUUAUAUAGGAGACCUAGGUACUGCCGUGGAGGAUGAGCUGUCUAGAUACGUUGCAGCUCUUGCGUUGUUUGACGGAUACUACAGGCUGGAGCCUAGGAGGUGGGAGGUGAUCAUAGCCGACGAAUCUAGGGAGUUCCUGGAGGGGCUGUGCAACGGGCUCCGUAGCUUCGGCGUCUCUUGUUCCGUUAGGCAGUACCGCCGCGAUAAUGCCUACAGACUGCGGAUUUACGGAAAAGAGGCUGUAACCCGCCUAUAUGUUCUUUCGCAGGAACUUCUCAACGACCCCGACGAGACGUUGCUUGCGGCGGCUAUAGACGCCGAGGGCAACGUGAAAAAAUACAGAGGCCAGCCCUUUAGGACGAAGAUCGUGCAGAAAAGAGGGGUAAAGGCAGAUGCGAUCAGGCAGGCGUUGCAGAGGCUCGGCAUAGCGUAUAGGGAAUACGCGUUCUGCAGGGCGGCAAAUCAGUGCGACUACGUCCUUUUCGUGGUCAGCAGCGAGGAGGAGAACCGCAAGCUCUACGGUAGGGUAAAGAUAAGGCAUCCGGACAAACUCCGCGAGGUCCACAAACUCCUAGGUCUCCAACCCCCUUAGUUUUACUUCCAUCCCGGCCCCGCCCCGGGAGAGGGUGUGUACGGGGGCUGAAUCCUGGCCACUGGCGGUACGUGAACCCCGGGUACAACCGGGCGAAGCGCCGCUGAAGGCCGGGGGUAACUCUGACCCUCUUAAGGUAGCCAAAUGCCUUGCCGGGUAAGGGCGGUUGCGUGGAGGAAGGCUUAAAGCCAACCCCCAGUUGCGUCGACGUGGACAUCGACCAGAUUUCUGCCUAUUUACUUGGGUGGAUAGUUGGCGAUGGAGGGCUCUACAAGCUCAGCUAUAGCGGAGGCCGGACGGAAUACCGCGUGGUCGUAACGCAGAAAGACUUGUCUACAGCGACGCGGUGUCUAGCGCCGUUGUUUGAGAGCCUCUGUAGCAUGCUCAACGUGGCCUCCAAGGUGCGCAUUCUCACCGGCAAUACUAGGGUGGAGGUCAGAGUCUCCAGCAAGAGACUAUAUGAGCACUUCACCUCGUUCUUAACAAGACUGCCUGAGUUCACCGAGAGGGAGAGGCGGCUGUUCAUAGCCGGCUUCUACAUGGCUGAAGGCGAAAAAAGCGGGAGACGCGUCAGGAUGUGGAAUAAGGACAUACAGCUGCUCAAGCUGAUAGGUAGCUGGCUGAGAGAAUUCGGCAUCUACUGGGGAUCUCCAAGACAUAGACUCCAUGCCGCUUGUCGUCGAGGUAUAUGCUGAACUUCUCUAUACCGGCAUCUGUUCUUCAACAUAUGGGGGUUGGAAACGACCUGUGAUCUUUACUAGACCUCCACGCGCCGCCCCCCGAGAGUUCCGGCGUGCAUGAAUGGAUCAACGAGGUCCCCACUGUCCCGGCCUGGGGCCCGGCGAACCCACCUCUAGGUGCACAGUCCUGGGACCCCCGACGGGGCGAGAAGUCCCUGUGGAGCUUCACUGCAGCCUGUCGUUGCGGAGGGGCGGGGGAUGCAGAGCGUAGGCAGGAGCAAUGAAACGGGGCCUCCGGGUCCCGUGGAUGCGGUCCUGGAACACUGCCCAUUCUCCGCCCCUCCGCUAACCUGGGGGCGACCCCGGGGACAGCGGCAGGCGGGCAGUUCGGCUGGGGCGGCACACCCCUGAAAAGAUAUCGGGGGUGCCCUAAGCUCGGCUCAGGCGGGUCAGGACUCCGCCGUAGAGUGUAAGGGCAAAAGCCGGGCUGACUGCGCCCUUGAACGCGAGGGGCGCAGGCGGGAAACCGGGGCCUAGAGAACGCUCGUGCCCCCACCAGUGGGGGCCGGGCAUGACAGAAAAGUUACCCCAGGAGUAACCGGCUCGUCGCGGGUGAGAGUUCCCAUCGACCCCGCGGUUUGGUACCCAGACGUCGUCUCUUCCCAUCCUGGGGGUGCAGCAGCCCCCAAGGGUGGGGCUGCCCGCCCAUUAAAGGGGAACGUGAGAUGGGUUCAGACCGUCGUGAGACAGGUCGGACUCUACCUGUCGGGGGUGCUGGCCGCCUGAGGGGAAGGUGCCCUCAGUACGAGAGGAACGGGGCGCCGCGGCCUCUAGUCUACCGGUUGUCCGGCAGGGCACUGCCGGGCAGCCACGCCGUAGGGGAUAACCGCUGAAAGCAUCUAAGCGGGAAGCCCUCCCCGAGACGAGGCGGCCGUUGCCCUGGGGGCAACCCCGGGGCACGAGGGCUCCCGUAGAAGACGGGUUUGAUGGGGGGGCGGUGUAACCCCCGAGGGUUCUCCCGAGGGGGGAGCCGGCCCCUCCCAAUCGCCCGAGCGUGCGGACGG
Molecule: ribosomal RNA, 4310 nt
Filed under: Thermoproteus sp.
Lineage: Archaea; Thermoproteati; Thermoproteota; Thermoprotei; Thermoproteales; Thermoproteaceae
Description: 23S ribosomal RNA
Rfam family: Archaeal large subunit ribosomal RNA
Source: RNAcentral